AGGCAGCAGUGAGGAUAUUGGUCAAUGGACGAGAGUCUGAACCAGCCAAGUAGCGUGAAGGAUGACUGCCCUAUGGGUUGUAAACUUCUUUUAUAUGGGAAUAAAGUGGGCCACGUGUGGCUUUUUGUAUGUACCAUACGAAUAAGGAUCGGCUAACUCCGUGCCAGCAGCCGCGGUAAUACGGAGGAUCCGAGCGUUAUCCGGAUUUAUUGGGUUUAAAGGGAGCGUAGGCGGAUURUUAAGUCAGUUGUGAAAGUUUGCGGCUCAACCGUAAAAUUGCAGUUGAUACUGGYAGUCUUGAGUGCAGCAGAGGURGGCGGAAUUCGUGGUGUAGCGGUGAAAUGCUUAGAUAUCACGA
RNAcentral lists this ribosomal RNA (358 nucleotides) under uncultured Bacteroides sp. Its description in RNAcentral is "bacterial SSU rRNA". It matches the Rfam family "Bacterial small subunit ribosomal RNA", at positions 346 to 702 of the family's 1533-position model. Lineage: Bacteria; Pseudomonadati; Bacteroidota; Bacteroidia; Bacteroidales; Bacteroidaceae. The record is from RNAcentral.